RNAcentral lists this unclassified non-coding RNA (548 nucleotides) under uncultured Bartonella sp. Its description in RNAcentral is "partial 16S-23S ribosomal RNA intergenic spacer". The stretch from base 98 to 171 matches the Rfam family "tRNA". Lineage: Bacteria; Pseudomonadati; Pseudomonadota; Alphaproteobacteria; Hyphomicrobiales; Bartonellaceae. The record is from RNAcentral.
AAACAAGUCCACCGUGGGCUUUGAAAAACGCUUUCCUUGAUAAAAUUUAAGCGUUUUAUAAGAGGAUGCCGGGGAAGGUUUUCCGGUUUAUCCCGGAGGGCUUGUAGCUCAGUUGGUUAGAGCGCGCGCUUGAUAAGCGUGAGGUCGGAGGUUCAAGUCCUCCCAGGCCCACCAGUUUAUCCAUUACUUUCAUAAGUGCUUUUAAAAAAUAAGUACUUCUAAAAAGAUUGCUUCUAAAAAGCUUAUCAAAAUUGGCAGGCUUAUUGCUUUUGUGUGAGUAAUCCAAAGUUAAAGCAAAUUAAUGGCAAAAAAACAGUUCAAAUGCUAAAUACUAAGGAGUCAAAAUUCCUUGCAAAGUGAUUUUUACAGCGUCCAUUUGGUUGAUAUAAAUUCCAAAUGCUCAUAGACGUCAAUGCCUAUAUGAAACUAUCGGUUCAAUCAUAUCGCUUUGAGUUAUAUAGAUUUUGUAAUCCCUCUUUUGAUCGUUUUAAACGCUUUAUUCUGAUUUAGGGGCCGUAGCUCAGCUGGGAGAGCACCUGCUUUGCAAG